UGGUGGAGUGAUUUGUCUGGUUAAUUCCGUUAACGAACGAGACCUCGACCUGCUAAAUAGUUCGUUGAACUCCUUUGGGUUUAUAUGUGACUUCUUAGAGGGACUAUCGGUGUGUAGCCGAUGGAAGUUCGAGGCAAUAACA
This 142-nucleotide ribosomal RNA is filed under the name uncultured eukaryote. RNAcentral's name for it is "partial 18S ribosomal RNA". It matches the Rfam family "Eukaryotic small subunit ribosomal RNA", at positions 1299 to 1458 of the family's 1831-position model. The record is from RNAcentral.